RNAcentral lists this long non-coding RNA (818 nucleotides) under Chloebia gouldiae (Gouldian finch). RNAcentral describes it as "Erythrura gouldiae (Gouldian finch) lncRNA (ENSEGOG00005011009.1)". Lineage: Eukaryota; Metazoa; Chordata; Aves; Passeriformes; Passeridae. The record is from RNAcentral.
GGGGCCGGGAUAAGCAGGGCGGGGCCAGGACAAGCAGGGCGGGCCCGGGAUAGGCAGGGCGGUGCAGGCGGGGCCGGGCGGGAGCGGCCUCCGGGUCCGGGCACGUUCUGGGCAGCCGCAGUGAUCGUACAGCGCUCCGGCCCCAUGGAGGCGGCGCGGCCGCAGCCCGCGGUGGGGCCGGAGCCGCGCGCCGAGGAGAUCGACAUGUCCUUGGAUGACAUCAUAAAGCGCCACAGGAAAGAGCAGACAGAUGCCAGUGCCUUGGGCGACAGCAGAAGGCAGCAGGUCAAGAACAGGAGUUCAGCCUCCGGAUAUAGGCGGCCCCAGUACCGACCCUGGAAGCAGAGGAAUUUGCAAGGACCUAACCGUUUCCGAAGAGGGCUUGGACAGCAGCAGUUCAAUCGGAGACAAUUCAGGAAUGCUUUGCCUGGUCACAAAAGACGAGCAGCUGCUGCAUUUGAUGGAGUGAGUCCUUUAAAUCGCCAAGCAUCAGCUCAGGAGGGCACCAAGAAGAGCAAUGCUUUUGCCAAAAGCAGCAGUGGGCAGCAGGAGGAACAGCCACAGCCAUCUCCAGGCACCAAGAGAUUCAGAGCAGAUGUUGCCAGCAUCUGCACCCCAGAGAGAAGCUGGGCAUGGCUACAGCCAUGUGCAUGUACAGCACCAGAAAAAUACCCCUGGCUAUGUUACGAAGGCACCUGGAAAGGAAACAACCUCAUGCUCAUAGUUAAUAAUGCCGAUAUUAAUCUCUGAUUUUAUUUCAGGAAGCACAGAAAAUGUGACCUUUGUAUUUUUAAUAAACUUGAUCGUUUUGGGAAACA